UGGGGAAUAUUGCACAAUGGGCGAAAGCCUGAUGCAGCGACGCCGCGUGAGCGAAGAAGUAUUUCGGUAUGUAAAGCUCUAUCAGCAGGGAAGAUAAUGACGGUACCCAACAAGGAAGUGACGGCUAACUACGUGCCAGCAGCCGCGGUAAAACGUAGGUCACAAGCGUUGUCCGGAAUUACUGGGUGUAAAGGGAGCGCAGGCGGGAAGACAAGUUGGAAGUGAAAUCUAUGGGCUCAACCCAUAAACUGCUUUCAAAACUGUUUUUCUUGAGUAGUGCAGAGGUAGGCGGAAUUCCCGGUGUAGCGGUGGAAUGCGUAGAUAUCGGGAGGAACACCAGUGGCGAAGGCGGCCUACUGGGCACCAACUGACGCUGAGGCUCGAAAGUGUGGGUAGCAAACAGGAUUAGAUACCCUGGUAGUCCACACCGUAAACGAUGAUUACUAGGUGUUGGGAGAUUGACCCUCUCAGUGCCGCAGUUAACACAAUAAGUAAUCCACCUGGGGAGUACGACCGCAAGGUUGAAACUCAAAGGAAUUGACGGGGGCCCGCACAAGCAGUGGAGUAUGUGGUUUAAUUCGACGCAACGCGAAGAACCUUACCAAGUCUUGACAUCCUCUGACGAACGUAGAAAUACGUUUUCUCUUCGGAGCAGAGAGACAGGUGGUGCAUGGUUGUCGUCAGCUCGUGUCGUGAGAUGUUGGGUUAAGUCCCGCAACGAGCGCAACCCUUAUGGUCAGUUACUACGCAAGAGGACUCUGGCCAGACUGCCGUUGACAAAACGGAGGAAGGUGGGGAUGACGUCAAAUCAUCAUGCCCUUUAUGACUUGGGCUACACACGUACUACAAUGGCGUUAAACAAAGAGAAGCAAGACCGCGAGGUGGAGCAAAACUCAGAAACAACGUCCCAGUUCGGACUGCAGGCUGCAACUCGCCUGCACGAAGUCGGAAUUGCUAGUAAUCGUGGAUCAGCAUGCCACGGUGAAUACGUUCCC
This 995-nucleotide ribosomal RNA is filed under the name uncultured organism. RNAcentral's name for it is "bacterial SSU rRNA". It matches the Rfam family "Bacterial small subunit ribosomal RNA", at positions 355 to 1375 of the family's 1533-position model. The record is from RNAcentral.